Molecule: long non-coding RNA, 228 nt
Filed under: Panax ginseng (ginseng)
Lineage: Eukaryota; Viridiplantae; Streptophyta; Magnoliopsida; Apiales; Araliaceae
Description: long non-coding RNA (PGIN_LNC012149)
Source: RNAcentral
AUAGACAUAAUGGAGAAAACACCUAGUUGUUGGACGUUCUUAAUAGGGAACCUAUCUACAAAGAGCAUGCUAGGUGACUUUAAUUCAAGGGUCUUUGCUAAUGGGAACCUCCCAAAAGAGACAUUAUUACUGAUGGAUGGAGGGUUCCUCAAUUUUCGUAGGGGAAUUGGAUAGAGAAUUGAAGAAGUCAUGCUGAGACUAUAAAACAAGCGCUUAUUGGGAGGCAAC